GACGAACGCUGGCGGCGUGCUUAACACAUGCAAGUCGAACGGAAAGGCCCUGCUUUUGUGGGGUGCUCGAGUGGCGAACGGGUGAGUAACACGUGAGUAACCUGCCCUUGACUUUGGGAUAACUUCAGGAAACUGGGGCUAAUACCGGAUAGGAGCUCCUGCUGCAUGGUGGGGGUUGGAAAGUUUCGGCGGUUGGGGAUGGACUCGCGGCUUAUCAGCUUGUUGGUGGGGUAGUGGCUUACCAAGGCUGUGACGGGUAGCCGGCCUGAGAGGGUGACCGGCCACAUUGGGACUGAGAUACGGCCCAGACUCCUACGGGAGGCAGCAGUGGGGAAUAUUGCACAAUGGGCGGAAGCCUGAUGCAGAAACGCCGCGUGCGGGAUGACGGCCUUCGGGUUGUAAACCGCUUUCGCCUGUGACGAAGCGUGAGUGACGGUAAUGGGUAAAGAAGCACCGGCUAACUACGUG
RNAcentral lists this ribosomal RNA (468 nucleotides) under uncultured bacterium. Its description in RNAcentral is "partial 16S ribosomal RNA". It matches the Rfam family "Bacterial small subunit ribosomal RNA", at positions 28 to 507 of the family's 1533-position model. The record is from RNAcentral.